UGAGUAUAAGUCUCCACCGCCACCUUCGCCUUCGCCACCACCUCCUUAUGUGUAUAAAUCCCCACCACCUCCGGUGCAUUCUCCUCCACCACCCCCAAUGCAUUCUCCUCCACCACCGUAUGAGUACAAAUCACCACCACCCCCGGUGCACUCACCACCUCCUCCGUAUGAGUAUAAAUCACCACCACCCCCGGUGCAUUCUCCUCCUCCGCCCUAUGAGUACAAGUCACCACCACCUCCGGUGCACUCACCACCUCCUCCAUAUGAGUACAAAUCACCACCACCUCCGGUGCAUUCUCCACCUCCACCAUAUGAGUAUAAAUCACCACCACCACCUUCACCAUCCCCACCACCACCAUAUGUGUACAAGUCUCCACCACCACCCGUCAAAUCCCCACCUCCACCAUACCACUACUCAUCACCACCACCACCCGUAAAAUCCCCACCUCCACCAUACCACUACUCCUCCCCACCACCACCUGUAAAAUCACCUCCUCCACCUUAUCAUUACUCAUCUCCACCACCACCAGUCAAAUCCCCACCACCACCAUACCACUACUCAUCACCUCCACCACCCGUAAAAUCACCACCUCCACCAUACUACUACAAGUCCCCACCACCUCCAGUUAAAUCCCCACCACCACCAUACUACUACCAUUCUCCUCCUCCCCCAGUGAAGUCACCACCUCCACCAUACCACUACAACUCUCCUCCACCACCCAAGCAUUCUCCACCACCACCUUACUACUACAAGUCUCCACCACCCCCCGUCAAGUCACCACCCCCACCAUACUACUAUCACUCUCCACCACCCCCAAUGAAGUCACCACCCCCACCAUACUACUACAGCUCACCACCACCACCCGUCAAGUCCCCACCACCACCAUACUACUACAGUUCACCACCACCACCGGUGAAAUCCCCGCCACCCCCAUACUACUACACAUCCCCACCACCACCAGUGAAAUCUCCACCACCUCCUUACUAUCCUCACCCUCAUCAUCACUCAUACACCGUGAAGGUAGUAGGAAAGGUUUACUGUUACAGAUGCUACGACUGGAAGUACCCAAUCAAGUCCCAUGCAAAGAUGCACCUAAAAGGUAACUUUUUUUCUAUUUUAUCAAUUAUUUAAUACACAUAAUUACCUCCUAGUUACAUUCUUCAGUCUUAAGUAUAUAUGUUUUUUCAGUUAUAUACACGCUCCUCUUUAAUAAUUUAGCUUUCUUACUGAUCAUUGCUUAUUAUAUUGUCCACGCACAUGCAUGCUAGCUAGCUCAUACUACACUCAUUUUCCUUUUCCUUGCUCUUUCUUAAUGUGGAAAUCCUAAUACCCUAGUGAGCUUAAUUAUUAUCACCAGAUCACUUCUAAAAUGUAAAGUUAAUCAUGCUUUUAUAAUGAACUAAUAUGCUUCAUUUAUUAUUAAUCACUUUGGUUUCUUUUUAUGUGACACUGUGAUUUACAUGCAUUCUAUAUAGUUCCGGCCACCUAGUACACUUUAAUGAGCUUGAUUAAUAUCAGAUCAUCUUCCUAUAAAAAGUUAAAUCAUGAUUUAUGAAUUAAUUAAUAUCCAUAACGACCAUAUGUCAUAACAGCUUUAUGUUGUAAAGCGAAAGAAAAGAAGGGCUGGACACCAUUAUAUAAUAGGACAGAUUCGAUCUGGCUAGCACCCACCCGAUCCACAUUGUUCAAUAAAAGACAUGCAUAUUUUUAUCUAUAAUCCACCAAUGAAAUUCUUGAUUUAUGCACCAAAAUUGGACGUAUAUAAUUUGUUCCCUUAUAUCUUUAUUUAGAUUAUAUCUUUAUAUAGAUUAGUGUAUAGUUUAAUAAUAUUAUUUCAAAUAUAUAUUUAAUAUUUUUCCCACCGGGUGUUACAUCUUUUACAUAUAAGCAUGUUAUAUAAUAAUAUAAUAUAAAGAUUUUUAACUUACUUUAAUUUUGGUAUAUGUCAAGCAUAUGCCAAUGAUGUUGCAUAUUAGAUUAAUUAGUAAAGAGAUAUGUCCUUUCAAAGAAUAAAUUAUAAUUAAAAUUGACAUGCUAGUCUUCUAUAUACUGUUAAGAUGUCUACAUACAGAGAAACUUCAUACCACACAUAGUCCAACGAUUGAUCUCUGAUUUGAAAAUAUAGAACGUGUAUUUAUUCUUAUUUGAAAAACGUGGCAACUAGAUCAGAGUUGGAAGCUAAGAUAAUAUAUAUUAGUACAAACAACUCACAAAGGAUAAGAGGACAAAAUGACUUAUUAUUAAAAAAAACUGAAUUAGGUAAAGACUGUAUUUAUUUAAGAUUUUGUCAAUAAAGUGGUUGUAAUAAUUCAACAUGUGGAAACAGGUGCUGUGGUUGAGGUGACAUGCAAGGCAGGAGACAAAGAUGUGGUGGCUUAUGGUAAGACAAAGAUCAAUGGUAAAUACAGCAUCACGGUUAAAGGAUUUGAGUACGGAAAGUAUGGUGGAGCCAAGGCAUGCAAAGCUAAGCUCCAUAUGGCGCCCAAGGAUUCUAAAUGUAAUAUUGCAACAAAUCUUCAUUGGGGCAUUAAGGGUGCUAAACUCAAAGUGAAAUCUAAGAGCAAAUAUGAAGUUGUUUUGUCUGCUAAGCCAUUUGCAUAUGCUCCCAAGACUCCUUACAAGAAGUGUUACAAGCCUGCACCAACACCAGCUCCGGUGACUCCGGUGACACCGCCUUAUUAUUAUAAGUCUCCACCACCGCCACCCAAGUCUCCCGCACCAACUCCUUAUUAUUACAAAUCUCCACCACCGCCAUCUAAAUCUCCGGCACCAACUCCUUACUACUACAAGUCUCCACCACCACCGCCUAAAUCUCCCACGCCAACACCUUACUACUACAAGUCUCCUCCCCCACCAACAAAAUCUCCGGUUCCAGCUCCUUAUUACUACAAAUCUCCCCCACCACCAACUAAGUCUCCCACUCCGGCUCCUUAUUACUACAAGUCCCCACCACCACCUUCACCAUCACCACCACCUCCAUACUACUACAAAUCACCACCACCACCUGUCAAGUCUCCCACUCCCGCUCCUUAUUACUACAAGUCCCCACCACCGCCGUCACCAUCUCCACCACCUCCAUACUACUACAAAUCACCACCACCACCCGUGAAAUCUCCAACUCCAACUCCUUACUACUACAAGUCUCCACCCCCACCGUCACCAUCUCCUCCCCCACCAUACUACUACAAAUCACCACCACCACCCGUGCAUUCACCUCCACCACCUUACUACUACAAAUCACCACCCCCGCCAGUGCACUCACCUCCACCACCCUACUACUACAAAUCACCACCACCUCCUUCGCCAUCUCCUCCACCACCAUAUUACUACAAGUCCCCACCUCCACCAAGUCCAUCCCCUCCACCUCCAUACCAUUACUCAUCACCUCCACCACCUGUGAAAUCCCCACCACCUCCAUAUCAUUAUUCCUCACCCCCACCACCUGUCAAAUCCCCGCCACCUCCAUAUCAUUAUUCGUCACCCCCACCACCAGUGAAAUCCCCGCCACCUCCAUAUCAUUAUUCGUCACCCCCACCACCAGUGAAAUCCCCGCCACCUCCAUAUCAUUAUUCGUCACCCCCACCACCAGUGAAAUCCCCGCCACCACCAUAUCAUUAUUCAUCACCACCACCCCCCGUCAAAUCCCCACCACCUCCUUACCAUUACUCUUCACCACCACCACCAGUAAAAUCUCCACCACCUCCAUAUCAUUAUUCAUCACCUCCACCACCAGUGAAAUCCCCACCACCUCCAUACCACUAUACGUCACCACCACCUCCAGUAAAAUCACCACCACCCCCAUAUCAUUAUUCAUCACCUCCACCACCCGUGAAGUCCCCACCACCACCAUACCACUAUUCUUCACCACCACCACCAGUAAAAUCCCCACCUCCUCCAUACCAUUACUCAUCACCUCCCCCACCUGUGAAAUCACCACCCCCUCCAUACCACUACUCUUCACCACCACCACCAGUCAAAUCCCCACCUCCUCCAUACCACUACUCUUCACCUCCACCACCGGUGAAAUCUCCACCUCCCCCAUACCACUACUCAUCUCCACCACCGCCAGUGAAAUCACCUCCACCACCGUACCACUACUCAUCUCCACCACCUCCCGUGAAAUCCCCACCUCCACCGUACCACUACUCAUCACCUCCACCACCCGUAAAAUCAC
This 4175-nucleotide long non-coding RNA is filed under the name Daucus carota (carrot). RNAcentral describes it as "long non-coding RNA (DCAR_LNC004777)". The record is from RNAcentral. Lineage: Eukaryota; Viridiplantae; Streptophyta; Magnoliopsida; Apiales; Apiaceae.